RNAcentral lists this small nuclear RNA (107 nucleotides) under Cavia aperea (Brazilian guinea pig). The record is from RNAcentral. Lineage: Eukaryota; Metazoa; Chordata; Mammalia; Rodentia; Caviidae.
AUGCUCGCUUAGGCAGCACAUAUGCUAAAAUUGGAACAACAUAGAGAAGAUUAGCAUGGCCCGUGAGCAAGGAUGACAUGCAAAUUCAUGAAGCAUUCCAUAUUUUG